RNAcentral lists this ribosomal RNA (448 nucleotides) under uncultured bacterium. RNAcentral describes it as "partial 16S ribosomal RNA". It matches the Rfam family "Bacterial small subunit ribosomal RNA", at positions 330 to 794 of the family's 1533-position model. The record is from RNAcentral.
CCCAGACUCCUACGGGAGGCAGCAGUGGGGGAUAUUGCACAAUGGGGGGAACCCUGAUGCAGCGACGCCGCGUGGGUGAAGGAGCGUUUCGGCGCGUAAAGCCCUCUCGGCAGGGAAGAAGGAGGACGGUACCUGACUAAGAAGCCCCGGCUAACUACGUGCCAGCAGCCGCGGUAAUACGUAGGGGGCAAGCGUUAUCCGGAUUUACUGGGUGUAAAGGGGGCGCAGACGGCAGCGCAAACCAGGAGUGAAAGCCCGGGGCCCAACCCCGGGACUGCUCUUGGAACUGCGCGGCUGGAGUGCAGGAGGGGCAGGCGGAAUUCCUGGUGUAGCGGUGAAAUGCGUAGAUAUCAGGAGGAACACCGGUGGCGAAGGCGGCCUGCUGGACUGCGACUGACGUUGAGGCCCGAAAGCGUGGGGAGCAAACAGGAUUAGAUACCCCGGUAUU